UGUGCGGGAGCCACCGACAGAAAUCUGUAUGU
Molecule: non-coding RNA, 32 nt
Filed under: Mus musculus (house mouse)
Lineage: Eukaryota; Metazoa; Chordata; Mammalia; Rodentia; Muridae
Source: RNAcentral